ACAUUUUUUCGGCCUUUGAAAAAAAUCAAGGGUAGUGUCUGUUUUUAUUAGUUUAAUAUCUAAGUAUACGAGCCAUAUGCUCACUUUGAUAUUAAAUUUAUUUUUCAUGAGAAAGGAUCCACUAUAGUGGCUUGCUGCUAAGAUCCCACAUCGUCUAGGCGUUGCACUAUUGCCAUGGCCAGGCGCACCCCAA
This 193-nucleotide small nuclear RNA is filed under the name Dichanthelium oligosanthes. RNAcentral's name for it is "U2 spliceosomal RNA". It matches the Rfam family "U2 spliceosomal RNA". From Rfam's summary of the family: U2 is a small nuclear RNA (snRNA) component of the spliceosome (involved in pre-mRNA splicing). Complementary binding between U2 snRNA (in an area lying towards the 5' end but 3' to hairpin I) and the branchpoint sequence (BPS) of the intron results the bulging out of an unpaired adenosine, on the BPS, which initiates a nucleophilic attack at the intronic 5' splice site, thus starting the first of two transesterification reactions that mediate splicing. The record is from Rfam by way of RNAcentral. Lineage: Eukaryota; Viridiplantae; Streptophyta; Magnoliopsida; Poales; Poaceae.